GGUUCCAUAGCUCAGUGGUAGAGAGUUUGCACCAGAAUUGCAAAGGUCAUGGGUUUGAAUCCCGUUGGAGCCU
This 73-nucleotide transfer RNA is filed under the name Desmophyllum pertusum. RNAcentral's name for it is "Lophelia pertusa tRNA". It matches the Rfam family "tRNA". Rfam says of the family: Transfer RNA (tRNA) molecules are approximately 80 nucleotides in length. Their secondary structure includes four short double-helical elements and three loops (D, anti-codon, and T loops). Further hydrogen bonds mediate the characteristic L-shaped molecular structure. tRNAs have two regions of fundamental functional importance: the anti-codon, which is responsible for specific mRNA codon recognition, and the 3' end, to which the tRNAs corresponding amino acid is attached (by aminoacyl-tRNA synthetases). tRNAs cope with the degeneracy of the genetic code in two manners: having more than one tRNA (with a specific anti-codon) for a particular amino acid; and 'wobble' base-pairing, i.e. permitting non-standard base-pairing at the 3rd anti-codon position. Lineage: Eukaryota; Metazoa; Cnidaria; Anthozoa; Scleractinia; Caryophylliidae. The record is from Rfam by way of RNAcentral.